UACUGCAGUGAGAUAAAGAUGUGCUAGAG
Molecule: non-coding RNA, 29 nt
Filed under: Mus musculus (house mouse)
Lineage: Eukaryota; Metazoa; Chordata; Mammalia; Rodentia; Muridae
Source: RNAcentral